Molecule: ribosomal RNA, 355 nt
Filed under: uncultured bacterium
Lineage: Bacteria
Description: bacterial SSU rRNA
Rfam family: Bacterial small subunit ribosomal RNA
Source: RNAcentral
GUAGGUGGCAAGCGUUGUCCGGAAUUAUUGGGCGUAAAGGGCGCGCAGGCGGCGUCGUAAGUCGGUCUUAAAAGUGCGGGGCUUAACCCCGUGAGGGGACCGAAACUGCGAUGCUAGAGUAUCGGAGAGGAAAGCGGAAUUCCUAGUGUAGCGGUGAAAUGCGUAGAUAUUAGGAGGAACACCAGUGGCGAAAGCGGCUUUCUGGACGACAACUGACGCUGAGGCGCGAAAGCCAGGGGAGCAAACGGGAUUAGAUACCCCGGUAGUCCUGGCCGUAAACGAUGGAUACUAGGUGUAGGAGGUAUCGACCCCUUCUGUGCCGGAGUUAACGCAAUAAGUAUCCCGCCUGGGGAGU